This is a non-coding RNA of Xyrichtys novacula (pearly razorfish), 340 nucleotides long. The record is from the annotation of a GenBank genome assembly. Lineage: Eukaryota; Metazoa; Chordata; Actinopteri; Labriformes; Labridae.
AACCCUCUACUUUAGUCAUCUUUUACACUUAUUCUAAACAGUUAACUGUGUGUGUGUGUGUGUGUGUGUGUGUGUGUGUGUGUGUGUGUGUGUGUGUGUGUGCGCGUGCGUGCGUGCGUGCGUGCGUGCGUGUGUGUGUGUGUUUACAGAUACUACACCUCAUCAGCUGGGCCUCUGGGAUCAGACUCCAGACCUCCUCCUGGCUCCUGAUGUCCCUCACAAACUGUGUGAGCGUGAGCAAGCUCUGGAGGCUGGAGUUCAUGUAACAGUUCUGGGCUGGAUUUGGAAAUCUGACACACAAACACAACAAAUGGAAUCAUAUCUUAAUAUUACAGCUCCA